AUUGAACGCUGGCGGCAGGCCUAACACAUGCAAGUCGGGCGGGUUUUCGGACCUAGCGGCGGACGGGUGAGUAAUGCGUAGGAAGCUGCCCGAUAGAGGGGGAUACCAGUUGGAAACGACUGUUAAUACCGCAUAAUGUCUACGGACCAAAGUGUGGGACCUUCGCGCCACAUGCUAUCGGAUGCGCCUACGUGGGAUUAGCUAGUUGGUGAGGUAAUGGCUCACCAAGGCGACGAUCUCUAGCUGGUUUGAGAGGAUGAUCAGCCACACUGGAACUGAGACACGGUCCAGACGCCUACGGGAGGCAGCAGUGGGGAAUAUUGGACAAUGGGCGCAAGCCUGAUCCAGCCAUGCUGCGUGUGUGAAGAAGGCCUUCGGGUUGUAAAGCACUUUCGGCGAGGAGGAAGGGGUAGUCGUUAAUAGCGGCUACUUUUGACGUUACUCGCAGAAGAAGCACCGGCUAACUCUGUGCCAGCCGCCGCGGUAA
This 487-nucleotide ribosomal RNA is filed under the name uncultured bacterium. Its description in RNAcentral is "partial 16S ribosomal RNA". It matches the Rfam family "Bacterial small subunit ribosomal RNA", at positions 30 to 523 of the family's 1533-position model. The record is from RNAcentral.